AUGCUGCUGCGACACUCAGCGCUGCGCAUCGCGGGCAGAAAACGCCGCGGACCGACUUCCGGUUCGCUCAGCACUACCGGGUUCCGCCCCGCCCGCUGCGAUCCGGUUCCGCUCUCCCCAACCCGCUCGGCGACGGGGCUUCCGGUCGGGCGGGUCCGCCCGCUCUCGCGCCCUUUGCCGGGUCCGGACACCGGUUCCGUUGCAAACAUUUUUAAAGGGCUGGUUAUUCUUCGUGAAAUGAGUUUGGUGAUUAGAAAUCUGCAGCGAGUCAUCCCCAUCAGGAGAGCACCACUUCGCAGUAAGAUCGAGAUUGUAAGGAGGAUUUUAGGAGUGCAGAAAUUUGACCUGGGGAUCAUCUGUGUUGACAACAAGAAUAUUCAGCACAUUAAUAGAAUCUACAGAGAUAGAAAUGUCCCAACCGAUGUGCUUUCUUUUCCAUUUCAUGAGGUGACGGCCACCCACGGACUCUGUCACUUGCUGGGCUUCACACACAGCACAGAGGCAGAGUGGCAGCAGGAACUGGACGUCAGACCUGCCCUUGUAAAAAUGACACAGAUGUUUGCUUUCAACACCGGGCUCCCCAAAUACUUCCAGCUGAAUGUGUUCACUAAGGAAAGCGGUCUGAGUGCAGAGGCCGAGAGCCACAGCUGAGGCUAGCAAGUGGCGUUUGGUCAAAAAGGUCCCAUCAGCUAGAGACUAGGCCAGACCCAGGGCGGAGGCAGGAGCUCUGCAUGAAGUGAGUUCCAGAUGUUCCAGAAGGAGAAGGCGGUGCUGGACGAGCUGGGCCGACGCACGGGGACCCGGCUGCAGCCCCUGACCCGGGGCCUCUUCGGAGGGAGCUGAGGGCCGCGUUCCUUCUGAAAGCGGGACGGGGGAGGGGUGGAGGCUGCGGGGAGCCGGGGUCGCACACAAAUAAAUAACGAAUGAAUGUA
This is an RNA transcript of Pongo pygmaeus (Bornean orangutan), 932 nucleotides long. It is a transcript of the gene named ybeY metalloendoribonuclease, with no coding region annotated. The transcript is spliced from 5 exons. The record is from RefSeq and is a predicted model, not a curated record. Lineage: Eukaryota; Metazoa; Chordata; Mammalia; Primates; Hominidae.